GGGGAUGUUUUAAAUCGACAGAAUUACGGUUUAAAGUAUUCAAGCCGAGCGUUGGCUGCCGCCGCUCGCUAAUCACCAAACAGCCGUCAAAAUAAGUGCCAACUCACUUAUGUCCAGAGUAAAGAGCGCUUUUGCCUCUUUAUCUUUGGCGCCCGCUUUGGCCUAAAACCCAAAGCCAUCAGCCCGGCCACGCCCGAUAGCCGGAAACUGGUGUCAAACCUCGGGCUUGGGCGAAAUAAGGUCUUGAUAUUUUGCCGAAACUAAAAGACUUUGGCUUGCGGGGUUUUUUCAAUUUUCGACCCGCCGGCCGAAACUAAAAAUUGAAUAAGCUUGUAAAUCUAUUUUGGGCCCGGUUCUGGACAGGGGUGCGAUUCCCCUCAUCUCCACCA
This 389-nucleotide transfer-messenger RNA is filed under the name Patescibacteria group. Its description in RNAcentral is "02-FULL-45-11b sp001817615 Standard tmRNA". It matches the Rfam family "transfer-messenger RNA". Rfam says of the family: Bacterial tmRNA, also known as 10Sa RNA or SsrA, is named for its dual tRNA and mRNA-like properties. Its role is to liberate the mRNA from a stalled ribosome. To accomplish this part of the tmRNA is used as a reading frame that ends in a translation stop signal. RNAcentral also lists the same sequence under 2 other names. The record is from RNAcentral.